GGAGUCUGGUCCGUGUCUCAGUACCAGUGUGGGGGACCUUCCUCUCAGAACCCCUAACGAUCGUUGGCCAGGUGGGCCGUUACCCCGCCUGCUGCCUAAUCGGACGCAUCCCCAUCCAUGGCCGAUGAAAUCUUUAGUCCUCAUUAGAUGUCUGCAAAGGACCCCAUAGGGCAUUAAUCCGCUUUUCAGCGGGCUAUUCCCUGGCCGUGGGCAGGUUGGAUACGCGUUACUCACCCGUGCGCCGGUCGCCAUCAGAGUUUGCAAGCAAACUCCAUGCUGCCCCUCGACUUGCAUGUGUUAAGCCUGUAGCUAGCGUUCAUC
RNAcentral lists this ribosomal RNA (321 nucleotides) under uncultured Prevotella sp. Its description in RNAcentral is "partial 16S ribosomal RNA". Lineage: Bacteria; Pseudomonadati; Bacteroidota; Bacteroidia; Bacteroidales; Prevotellaceae. The record is from RNAcentral.